This 85-nucleotide transfer RNA is filed under the name Bimuria novae-zelandiae CBS 107.79. It matches the Rfam family "tRNA". From Rfam's summary of the family: Transfer RNA (tRNA) molecules are approximately 80 nucleotides in length. Their secondary structure includes four short double-helical elements and three loops (D, anti-codon, and T loops). The record is from Rfam by way of RNAcentral. Lineage: Eukaryota; Fungi; Ascomycota; Dothideomycetes; Pleosporales; Didymosphaeriaceae.
GGUCGGUUAGCUCAGUUGGUUAGAGCGUGGUGCUAAUAGCUUCCUGUCAACGCCAAGGUCGCGGGUUCGACCCCCGUACUGACCA